RNAcentral lists this ribosomal RNA (754 nucleotides) under uncultured Glomus. RNAcentral's name for it is "SSU rRNA". It matches the Rfam family "Eukaryotic small subunit ribosomal RNA", at positions 328 to 1085 of the family's 1831-position model. Lineage: Eukaryota; Fungi; Glomeromycota; Glomeromycetes; Glomerales; Glomeraceae. The record is from RNAcentral.
GUAGGAUAGAGGCCUACCAUGGUGGUAACGGGUAACGGGGUGUUAGGGCACGACACCGGAGAGGGAGCCUGAGAAACGGCUACCACAUCCUUGGAUGGCAGCAGGCGCGCAAAUUACCCAAUCCCGACACGGGGAGGUAGUGACAAUAAAUAACAAUACGGGGUUCUUUCGGAUUUCGUAAUUGGAAUGAGUACAAUUUAAAUCUCUUAACGAGGAACAAUUGGAGGGCAAGUCUGGUGCCAGCAGCCGCGGUAAUUCCAGCUCCAAUAGCGUAUAUUAAAGUUGUUGCAGUUAAAAAGCUCGUAGUUGAAUUUCGGGACUAAUAUGUCGGUCGUGCCUCGGUACGUACUGGUUUAUUGGUUUCUCCUUUCUGAAGAACCAUGAUGUCAUUUAUUUGGUGUCGUGGGGAAUCAGGACUGUUACUUUGAAAAAAUUAGAGUGUUUAAAGCAGGCUCACGCUUGAAUACAUUAGCAUGGAAUAAUGAAAUAGGACGUUUGAUUCUAUUUUGUUGGUUUCUAGGAUCGACGUAAUGAUUAAUAGGGAUAGUUGGGGGCAUUAGUAUUCAAUUGUCAGAGGUGAAAUUCUUGGAUUUAUUGAAGACUAACUACUGCGAAAGCAUUUGCCAAGGAUGUUUUCAUUAAUCAAGAACGGAAGUUAGGGGAUCGAAGACGAUCAGAUACCGUCGUAGUCUUAACCAUAAACUAUGCCGACUAGGGAUCGGAUGAUGUUAAUUUUUUAAUGACUCAUUCGGCG